CCUGGCCGUUAAGCCUGUCCAUUGCGGAAGGCUGAAUUUAUCUCGCUGAUUUCAGGAGCUUUAUUAUGCGUA
This 72-nucleotide small RNA is filed under the name Shimwellia blattae DSM 4481 = NBRC 105725. RNAcentral describes it as "Escherichia blattae DSM 4481 Repression of heat shock gene expression (ROSE) element". It matches the Rfam family "Repression of heat shock gene expression (ROSE) element". Rfam says of the family: This family represents a 5' UTR cis-regulatory element found in heat shock mRNAs and is known as the ROSE (repression of heat shock gene expression) element. The ROSE element is a negative regulator of heat shock gene expression. Lineage: Bacteria; Pseudomonadati; Pseudomonadota; Gammaproteobacteria; Enterobacterales; Enterobacteriaceae. The record is from Rfam by way of RNAcentral.